This is an unclassified non-coding RNA of Erinaceus europaeus (western European hedgehog), 320 nucleotides long. Its record names the gene 7SK. It matches the Rfam family "7SK RNA". Rfam says of the family: 7SK was discovered as an abundant small nuclear RNA in the mid-70s but a possible function has only recently been suggested. Two independent studies have found that 7SK RNA binds the CDK9/cyclin T complex (known as elongation factor P-TEFb). The record is from Ensembl. NCBI's taxonomy places the organism in Eukaryota, Metazoa, Chordata, Mammalia, Eulipotyphla, Erinaceidae.
GGAUGUGAGGGUGAUCUGGCUGCGAUAUCUGUUACCCCAUUGAUCGCCAGGGUUGAUUAGGCUGAUCUGGUUGGCUAGAUGGGUCCCCUUCCUCCCUCACCACUUCAUGUGCGUCCCUCCUGAAGCUGUGCGCUCAGUCGAACAAGAUGGCCUUCCCUGAAUAGCGACAGACCUGUCUUCAGUCAAGGGUAUAUGAGUAGCUGAGCUCCCCUGCUAUAACCUCCAAACAAGCUCUCAAGAUCCAUGAUUAGUCAGCAGUUUGUUUGGCUUUCUAUGUUAACUCUUUUUUCAGCCACCAGGUUCCAGAUGGCUAACAUGAU